GGUGCGGACACCAGUGCCAGGUCAGCCGGUCGCUAAGGAUCCAGCCAGCUCAGCGGGUCCCAGCCGAUUCAGCCAGCCUGAUUUUAUUUUAGAUUGAUUUAUUUUAGUUAGAUUUAUUUUAUGUUGAUUGGAUUUAUUUGCAUAUUGUCAUUUUAGGGCCUUUUCGGGAUUGUUUUAUUUGUAGGGAUCUAUUUGUUAUUUUGUGACCCCAUUUAUAUGGGUUCACCCUCAUGUUUAGGUUUUUGAUGAAUGAUGAAAGAAAAUUAGCCUCCCUAUCUUUUUCUUCCUCCUUCUUUCCCCUCCUCCUCUUCUCCCCCCUCCUCUUCUUCCCCCUUC
This 336-nucleotide long non-coding RNA is filed under the name Phoenix dactylifera (date palm). RNAcentral describes it as "long non-coding RNA (PDAC_LNC014907)". Lineage: Eukaryota; Viridiplantae; Streptophyta; Magnoliopsida; Arecales; Arecaceae. The record is from RNAcentral.